GCUGGCGGCGCGUCUCACACAUGCAAGUCGCACGAGAAAGCAGGAGCAAUCUUGUGAGUACAGUGGCGUACUUGUGCGUAACACGUGGAUCAUCUACCUUCUAGUGGGGAAUACCUCCGGGAAACUGGAGACAAUACCGCAUAAGCUCGUGAGAGGAAAGCAGCAAUGCGCUGGAAGAGGAGUCCGCGGCUGAUUAGCUAGAUGGCGGGGUAACGGCCUACCAUGGCGAAGAUCGGUAGCCGGCCUGAGAGGGCACACGGCCACACUGGCACUGAAACACGGGCCAGACUCCUACGGGAGGCAGCAGUGGG
This 311-nucleotide ribosomal RNA is filed under the name uncultured Acidobacteriota bacterium. RNAcentral describes it as "bacterial SSU rRNA". It matches the Rfam family "Bacterial small subunit ribosomal RNA", at positions 35 to 358 of the family's 1533-position model. Lineage: Bacteria; Pseudomonadati; Acidobacteriota. The record is from RNAcentral.